This 402-nucleotide ribosomal RNA is filed under the name uncultured bacterium. Its description in RNAcentral is "bacterial SSU rRNA". It matches the Rfam family "Bacterial small subunit ribosomal RNA", at positions 355 to 774 of the family's 1533-position model. The record is from RNAcentral.
UAGGGAAUAUUGGACAAUGGGGGAAACUCUGAUCCAGCAAUGCCGCGUGAGUGAAGAAGGCCUUAGGGUUGUAAAGCUCUUUCGCCCGCGAAGAUAAUGACGGUAGCGGGAGAAGAAGCCCCGGCUAACUCCGUGCCAGCAGCCGCGGUAAUACGGCGGGGGCUAGCGUUGUUCGGAAUUACUGGGCGUAAAGCGUACGUAGGCGGAUGCGCAAGUUGGGGGUGAAAUCCCGGGGCUUAACCUCGGAAUUGCCCUCAAAACUGCACGUCUUGAGACCGAGAGAGGUAAGGGGAAUUCCUAGUGUAGAGGUGAAAUUCGUAGAUAUUAGGAAGAACACCAGUGGCGAAGGCGCCUUACUGGCUCGGUACUGACGCUGAGGUACGAAAGCGUGGGGAGCAAACA